UUGAACGCUGGCGGCAGGCCUCACACAUGCAAGUCGAGCGGAUGAAGGGAGCUUGCUCCUGGAUUCAGCGGCGGACGGGUGAGUAAUGCCUAGGAAUCUGCCUGGUAGUGGGGGAUAACGUCCGGAAACGGGCGCUAAUACCGCAUACGUCCUGAGGGAGAAAGUGGGGGAUCUUCGGACCUCACGCUAUCAGAUGAGCCUAGGUCGGAUUAGCUAGUUGGUGGGGUAAAGGCCUACCAAGGCGACGAUCCGUAACUGGUCUGAGAGGAUGAUCAGUCACACUGGAACUGAGACACGGUCCAGACUCCUACGGGAGGCAGCAGUGGGGAAUAUUGGAGAAUGGGCGAAAGCCUGAUCCAGCCAUGCCGCGUGUGUGAAGAAGGUCUUCGGAUUGUAAAGCACUUUAAGUUGGGAGGAAGGGCAGUAAGUUAAUACCUUGCUGUUUUGACGUUACCAACAGAAUAAGCACCGGCUAACUUCGUG
This 483-nucleotide ribosomal RNA is filed under the name uncultured bacterium. RNAcentral's name for it is "partial 16S ribosomal RNA". It matches the Rfam family "Bacterial small subunit ribosomal RNA", at positions 30 to 507 of the family's 1533-position model. The record is from RNAcentral.